AGGUUAACCGUAUAGGGGAGCCGUAGAGAAAUCGAGUCUUAAUAGGGCGUUUAGUUGCUGGGUAUAGACCCGAAACCAGGCGAUCUAUCCAUGAGCAGGUUGAAGGUUGGGUAACACUAACUGGAGGACCGAACCCACUGUCGUUGAAAAGCCAGGGGAUGACUUGUGGAUAGGGGUGAAAGGCUAAUCAAGCCUGGUGAUAGCUGGUUCUCCCCGAAAGCUAUUUAGGUAGCGCCUCGGACGAAUACCAUAGGGGGUAGAGCACUGUUUCGGCUAGGGGGUCAUCCCGACUUACCAAACCGAUGCAAACUCCGAAUACCUAUGAGUACUAUCCGGGAGACAGACUGCGGGUGCUAACGUCCGUAGUCAAGAGGAAAACAAUCCAGACCGCCAGCUAAGGCCCCAAAAUCAUAGUUAAGUGGGAAACGAUGUGGGAAGGCAUAGACAGCUAGGAGGUUGGCUUAGAAGCAGCCACCCUUUAAAGAAAGCGUAAUAGCUCACUAGUCGAGUCGGCCUGCGCGGAAGAUGUAACGGGGCUAAAACUAUGUGCCGAAGCUGCGGAUUUGACAUUAGUCAAGUGGUAGGGGAGCGUUCUGUAAGCCGAUGAAGGUGUGUUGAGAAGCAUGCUGGAGGUAUCAGAAGUGCGAAUGCUGACGUGAGUAACGACAAAACGGGUGAAAAACCCGUUCGCCGAAAGACCAAGGGUUCCAGUCCAACGUUAAUCGGGGCUGGGUGAGUCGACCCCUAAGGCGAGGCCGAAAGGCGUAGUCGAUGGGAAAAUGGUUAAUAUUCCAUUACUUCUGUGUAAUGCGAUGAGAGGACGGAGAAGGCUAAAUCAGCCUGGCGUUGGUUGUCCAGGUGAAAGGAUGUAGGCAUGUAUCUUAGGCAAAUCCGGGGUACUCUAUGCUGAGAUCUGAUAGCAAGCUGUACUUGUACAGCGAAGUGGUUGAUGCCAUGCUUCCAGGAAAAGUCUCUAAGCUUCAGUUACACAGGAAUCGUACCCGAAACCGACACAGGUGGUCAGGUCGAGUAGACCAAGGCGCUUGAGAGAACUCUGCUGAAGGAACUAGGCAAAAUGGUACCGUAACUUCGGGAGAAGGUACGCUGUUGUUGGUGAUGGAACUCGCUUCCUGAGCUGACGACAGCCGCAGAAACCAGGCCGCUGCAACUGUUUAUUAAAAACAUAGCACUCUGCAAACACGAAAGUGGACGUAUAGGGUGUGAUGCCUGCCCGGUGCUGGAAGGUUAAUUGAUGGGGUUAGCGUAAGCGAAGCUCUUGAUCGAAGCCCCAGUAAACGGCGGCCGUAACUAUAACGGUCCUAAGGUAGCGAAAUUCCUUGUCGGGUAAGUUCCGACCUGCACGAAUGGCAUAAUGAUGGCGGCGCUGUCUCCAGCAGAGGCUCAGUGAAAUCGAAAUCGCUGUGAAGAUGCAGUGUACCCGCG
This 1443-nucleotide ribosomal RNA is filed under the name Salmonella enterica subsp. enterica serovar Typhi. Its description in RNAcentral is "bacterial LSU rRNA". It matches the Rfam family "Bacterial large subunit ribosomal RNA", at positions 643 to 2074 of the family's 2925-position model. Lineage: Bacteria; Pseudomonadati; Pseudomonadota; Gammaproteobacteria; Enterobacterales; Enterobacteriaceae. The record is from RNAcentral.